Molecule: transfer RNA, 72 nt
Filed under: Nitratifractor salsuginis DSM 16511
Lineage: Bacteria; Pseudomonadati; Campylobacterota; Epsilonproteobacteria; Campylobacterales; Sulfurovaceae
Rfam family: tRNA
About the family: Transfer RNA (tRNA) molecules are approximately 80 nucleotides in length.
Source: Rfam by way of RNAcentral
UCCGGAUUAGCUCAGUGGUAGAGUAGGUGACUGUUAAUCACUUGGUCGCUGGUUCGAAUCCAGCAUCCGGAG